RNAcentral lists this ribosomal RNA (253 nucleotides) under uncultured bacterium. Its description in RNAcentral is "partial 16S ribosomal RNA". It matches the Rfam family "Bacterial small subunit ribosomal RNA", at positions 524 to 776 of the family's 1533-position model. The record is from RNAcentral.
GACAGAGGGUGCAAACGUUGUUCGGAUUUAUUGGGCGUAAAGAGCGUGUAGGCGGCCAGGUAGGUCUGCUGUGAAAACUCGAGGCUUAACCUCGAGCUGUCGGCGGAAACCAUCUGGCUAGAGUCCGGAAGAGGAGAAUGGAAUUCCCGGUGUAGCGGUGAAAUGCGCAGAUAUCGGGAAGAACACCCGUGGCGAAGGCGGUUCUCUGGGACGGUACUGACGCUGAGACGCGAAAGCGUGGGGAGCGAACAGG